RNAcentral lists this ribosomal RNA (375 nucleotides) under uncultured organism. RNAcentral's name for it is "partial 16S ribosomal RNA". It matches the Rfam family "Bacterial small subunit ribosomal RNA", at positions 527 to 896 of the family's 1533-position model. The record is from RNAcentral.
GUAGGUGGCAAGCGUUGUCCGGGAAUUAUUGGGGCGUAAAGCGCGCGCAGGCGGUUCUUUAAGUCUGAUGUGAAAGCCCACGGGCUCAACCGUGGAGGGUCAUUGGAAACUGGAGAACUUGAGUACAGAAGAGGGAAGCGGAAUUCCACGUGUAGCGGUGAAAUGCGUAGAGAUGUGGAGGAACACCAGUGGCGAAGGCGGCUUUCUGGUCUGUAACUGACGCUGAGGCGCGAAAGCGUGGGGAGCAAACAGGAUUAGAUACCCUGGUAGUCCACGCCGUAAGCGAUGAGUGCUAAGUGUUAGGGGGUUUCCGCCCCUUAGUGCUGCAGCUAACGCAUUAAGCACUCCGCCUGGGGAGUACGGCCGCAAAGGCUG